Molecule: transfer RNA, 72 nt
Organism: Toxocara canis (dog roundworm)
Lineage: Eukaryota; Metazoa; Nematoda; Chromadorea; Rhabditida; Toxocaridae
Rfam family: tRNA
About the family: Transfer RNA (tRNA) molecules are approximately 80 nucleotides in length. Their secondary structure includes four short double-helical elements and three loops (D, anti-codon, and T loops).
Source: Rfam
GCGGCAGUAGCUUAGUGGUAGAGGCCCAGCUUCGCAGGCGGGGAGACCUGGGUUCGACUCCCCGCUGCUUCC